CUAGCACUUUCACAGAUCUUCCCCUAGACAGUAGGGCCAGGAUUUGGUAGCUGGUGCUUAGAGAAAACCCUUGAUUGCAUCUUUGCCCUGGUACUAUACCAGUGGCAGGUGUCACUCACUGGAACAGAG
This 129-nucleotide small nucleolar RNA is filed under the name Castor canadensis (American beaver). Its description in RNAcentral is "Small nucleolar RNA SNORA30/SNORA37 family (ENSCCNG00000028260.1)". It matches the Rfam family "Small nucleolar RNA SNORA30/SNORA37 family". From Rfam's summary of the family: The members of this family belong to the H/ACA class of snoRNAs that guide the sites of modification of uridines to pseudouridines. This family includes human ACA30 (SNORA30), ACA37 (SNORA37) and the mouse homolog MBI-26. The record is from Rfam by way of RNAcentral. Lineage: Eukaryota; Metazoa; Chordata; Mammalia; Rodentia; Castoridae.